GCUACAGGCUUAACACAUGCAAGUCGAGGGGAAACGACAUCGAAAGCUUGCUUUUGAUGGGCGUCGACCGGCGCACGGGUGAGUAACGCGUAUCCAACCUGCCCACCACUUGGGGAUAACCUUGCGAAAGUAAGACUAAUACCCAAUGAUAUCUCUAGAAGACAUCUGAAAGGGAUUAAAGAUUUAUCGGUGAUGGAUGGGGAUGCGUCUGAUUAGCUUGUUGGCGGGGUAACGGCCCACCAAGGCUACGAUCAGUAGGGGUUCUGAGAGGAAGGUCCCCCACAUUGGAACUGAGACACGGUCCAAACUCCUACGGGAGGCAGCAGUGAGGAAUAUUGGUCAAUGGGCGAGAGCCUGAACCAGCCAAGUAGCGUGCAGGAUGACGGCCCUAUGGGUUGUAAACUGCUUUUAUAAGGGAAUAAAGUGAGCCUCGUGAGACUUUUUGCAUGUACCUUAUGAAUAAGGACCGGCUAAUUCCGUGCCAGCAGCCGCGGUAAUACGGAAGGUCCGGGCGUUAUCCGGAUUUAUUGGGUUUAAAGGGAGCGUAGGCCGGAGAUUAAGCGUGUUGUGAAAUGUAGAUGCUCAACAUCUGCACUGCAGCGCGAACUGGUUUCCUUGAGUACGCACAAAGUGGGCGGAAUUCGUGGUGUAGCGGUGAAAUGCUUAGAUAUCACGAAGAACUCCGAUUGCGAAGGCAGCUCACUGGAGCGCAACUGACGCUGAAGCUCGAAAGUGCGGGUAUCGAACAGGAUUAGAUACCCUGGUAGUCCGCACGGUAAACGAUGGAUGCCCGCUGUUGGUCUGAAUAGGUCAGCGGCCAAGCGAAAGCAUUAAGCAUCCCACCUGGGGAGUACGCCGGCAACGGUGCAACUCAAAUGAAUUGACGGA
Molecule: ribosomal RNA, 888 nt
Filed under: uncultured organism
Description: bacterial SSU rRNA
Rfam family: Bacterial small subunit ribosomal RNA
Source: RNAcentral